ACAUUUGGUAUAUUGACAAAUUUCAGCUAUUAUGAAUAUAUUUUUUUCUUACACCAAAGAUAAAUGUUUUCAUUUAUCUCAGGUAACUAUUAUAUCUUGGUGUGUUUGUUCUUCUGAUCAUUUGUUUGUUUGUUGUAUGAGUUUGUGUUUGUGUAGGUGCCCACGCAUGUGGAAGGGCCAAGAAGAACGUCAGAUGUCUGUUCUCUGUGGGCUCUCACUGAAUGUGGAGAUAGAUCUACAACCAGUGAAACUGAGCUUUCCUCUUGCCUCCAGCAUUGGCAGUAGAAGGGUUACAGACUGGAAAUGAAAACCAUGAAAAAAGAAUCACAACCUGAGGAAGACAGAACAAGAAGCUACAUGGCUGUCUUUCUCAAACAACUAUAAAAACUGGAGACUGCUUGCUCUUUGGUUUCUUGGUGUUUGAAUAUUAACCCUCUCCCCCAUCUGUUUAAUGUACUAUACCAGUUGGGUUUCUGUUACAUAAAUCCAUGUGCAAUCCUAUCUGGUAUAAUAUAUCAAAGCAUCUUAGAAUAUAAAUGACAUAUAAAUUUGUAGUAUUUGUUUAAAAUUGAAUCUAAGUGGUAAUGUCGAGUCAAAAUAUUUCUAAAGUUAUUAUAAUGUAUUUGUGGCAGAUUAUAAAAUAUUUUUCCUUUUGUCUAUUCUUAUCUAAUCAGAUUACUUUCCUAUUUUGAUAAUAAAAACUGGGGUACUUUCA
Molecule: long non-coding RNA, 715 nt
Organism: Mus musculus (house mouse)
Lineage: Eukaryota; Metazoa; Chordata; Mammalia; Rodentia; Muridae
Product: predicted gene, 54065
Exons: 2
Source: RefSeq, a predicted model, not a curated record